RNAcentral lists this small RNA (163 nucleotides) under human gut metagenome. RNAcentral's name for it is "Clostridiales-1 RNA". It matches the Rfam family "Clostridiales-1 RNA". The record is from RNAcentral.
GAUGCCAGGGUCAAAAGGUCAUGCGUUUCAUGCUUGCAUGAAAAAGCAUGACUUAUUGACCCACCAAACAUGAGAAAGUAGCGAUUUACGUAGUAAAUCAGCGGAUUUCGAAUGUUUGCAGAAUUGCGGGAGCUGCUUUGCAGCGGAGCAAUUCGUAGGCAUC